Molecule: long non-coding RNA, 720 nt
Organism: Ostrea edulis (European flat oyster)
Lineage: Eukaryota; Metazoa; Mollusca; Bivalvia; Ostreida; Ostreidae
Exons: 2
Source: RefSeq, a predicted model, not a curated record
AAUAGGGUCGGAAAGUCUCGUUUACUUUCACUUUCGAUUUACUACUUCCGGGCAGCUGUCGAAAAAUGUCACUUUGUUUUGCUUUGGUUAUGCUCAGAUGACAGCGUUAAAAUGAACCUACAGCCUAUAUAGAUUCCCUACUUAUGCAAAGAGAGGAAGAAGUGGAUUUAUAGAUGCAGAUGCUGUUAUAUACAUCAUUACCGUCAGAAGUAUCAAUGUGUUGGUGGCUGUUAUGAAGAGAAUGGGCCCAUUUUAACAACUUCUAGGAUGGGCGGUACAAGGGUUCAUACCAGUGACCAAUGAAGCACAGCUGUUACAAGACCAGGAAGAGUCAAAUUCAUGUGGAGUGUGCAAUUGAAUUUAAUUAAAAACAUCCAUAUUCUAAAUCAUAUACCUUCACAAUACAGACAUAUAUAUCUGUCCACUAACAUUUUCAACUCUGUGUGACUCUUGUACAUUUGCAAAUCCUCUACUGAAGGAAAUAGCUGAUAUGAAUUUCACAAUUAAUUAAAUCUUACCUUUGGACUUAGAUACUAUAAAUGUACAACUUCUUACUCACAUUAUUCUGGAUUGUCAAGUUGUAUUAAAUGCAUUCAAGUAAAUGAUAAAGUGAACAUUUAUUUAAGGUUGCUAGUCAAAGAAAUUGUUACAAUGGUGAUUCAUGCACAUCUUCACACUGAUCAUUUGUAGCAAAAACAAAAUAAAACUAAUGGAAGACAA